This 402-nucleotide ribosomal RNA is filed under the name uncultured bacterium. RNAcentral's name for it is "bacterial SSU rRNA". It matches the Rfam family "Bacterial small subunit ribosomal RNA", at positions 355 to 774 of the family's 1533-position model. The record is from RNAcentral.
UAGGGAAUAUUGGUAAUGUGCGAAAGCGCGAACCAGCAACGCCGCGUGCGCGAUGAAGGCCUUCGGGUCGUAAAGUGCUUUUAGAGAGGAUGAGGAAGGACAGUACUUUCUGAAUAAGCCUCGGCUAACUACGUGCCAGCAGCCGCGGUAAAACGUAGGAGGCUAGCGUUAUCCGGAUUUACUGGGCGUAAAGCGCAUGCAGGUGGUUUUGUAAGUUGGAUGUGAAAGCUCCUGGCUUAACUGGGAGAGGUCGUUCAAAACUACAAGACUUGAGAUUGGUAGAGGAGAAUGGAAUUCCGGGUGUAGUGGUGAAAUGCGUAGAUAUCCGGAGGAACACCAGUGGCGAAAGCGGUUUUCUGGACCAAUUCUGACACUCAGAUGCGAAAGCUAAGGUAGCAAACG